Molecule: ribosomal RNA, 210 nt
Filed under: uncultured bacterium
Lineage: Bacteria
Description: partial 16S ribosomal RNA
Rfam family: Bacterial small subunit ribosomal RNA
Source: RNAcentral
CUGUCUCAGUUCGGAUUGGAGUCUGCAACCCGACUCCAUGAAGCUGGAUUCGCUAGUAAUCGCGCAUCAGCCACGGCGCGGUGAAUACGUUCCCGGGCCUUGUACACACCGCCCGUCAAGCCAUGGAGGCCGGGGGUGCCUGAAGUGCGCUGCCGCAAGGAGCGCCCUAGGGUAAAACCGGUGACUGGGGCUAAGUCGUAACAAGGUACC